Long non-coding RNA from Mus musculus (house mouse), 978 nucleotides. RefSeq annotates it as predicted gene, 42219. The transcript has 3 exons. The record is from RefSeq and is a predicted model, not a curated record. Lineage: Eukaryota; Metazoa; Chordata; Mammalia; Rodentia; Muridae.
AAAGAACCACUUUAAUUUGUACAAAACUUAUAAAGGGAUUUUUAUCUUUAUUAGUAUAAAAUAUUUGAGGUUACAGAUUUUUAUUUACUUCUUUUAUAAUUACUUCUUUAUCAAUUUGAUAAUAGCCUGUCAAUCUGUAGCAUCAUUUCCUGCUGUAUACAUACAGGUUUAUUUUCAGUGUCAUUUAGUUACUGUUCUAUAUGUAAGCGCAAUCUCCUUGUAAGGGGAACAGUAAGCUAUCUUCUUCUUAUAGGUGGAAGAUGCAGCUCCUGGUGUCCUCUCAUGAUUUGAUUUUGCACUAACUACACUAUAACUACACUACAGAGGCACACUACAAUGGCCAUUUCAAUAAAAGUCACCUUGAGACUACGUGUGAGGGCACACUUUUAAUCCCAACACUUGACAGCCUAGGAUCCACCACCGACUUUCAACCUCCAGCUCUGUAACUUCCUAUUCAUUUGCCUAUUCUAGUCAUUUUUCUCUACUUUCUCUUCCUUCUCCUCCUCCUCUUCUCUGUUUUGUUUUGAAUAUUGAUUUUAAUUUUGUAUGCUUGGGUGUUUCUCCUGCAUAUAUGCACUGUGUUCUUACAAUGCCGUUGGAAGCCAGAAGAUUACAACUCCCUGGAACUACAGAAGCAAAUCUGAGCGCGUUGGAAGAGCAGCCAGAUCUGCUAAACGCUAAGCCAUCUCUCAGGCACCUUCACUUUCAGCUCUUCUUGACACAUCAUCAGACUGUCUGCUAAUGGAAUUCGUAUUAUUCCUUCUUUCUUCUCAUAUUCAUUAAAUACUGGUAUUUUUCAAUGUUCUGGUUUUGGCCAUUUUCUUUCAUCAUUCAAUGAAAGUCUACUUACAUAUAGAUUCUAUCUAUAUAGUAAGUAAACUGCCUGAUUAAUAGACACAUAAUACCUAAUAUGUACAACAGCAUCCCCAUACCUAUACCUAUACUCACACAAAGGUUACACACCUAGGACUCAUAAGA